UACGGAGGAUGCGAGCGUUAUCCGGAUUUAUUGGGUUUAAAGGGUGCGUAGGCGGAACAUUAAGUCAGCGGUAAAAUCGAGGGGCUCAACCCCUUUAAGCCGUUGAAACUGGUGAUCUUGAGUGGGCGAGAAGUAUGCGGAAUGCGUGGUGUAGCGGUGAAAUGCAUAGAUAUCACGCAGAACUCCGAUUGCGAAGGCAGCAUACCGGCGCCCGACUGACGCUGAGGCACGAAAGCGUGGGGAUCGAACAG
RNAcentral lists this ribosomal RNA (251 nucleotides) under uncultured bacterium. RNAcentral's name for it is "partial 16S ribosomal RNA". It matches the Rfam family "Bacterial small subunit ribosomal RNA", at positions 524 to 775 of the family's 1533-position model. The record is from RNAcentral.